CAGGCCUUCACUGUGCAGGCCUUAGCCUCAGUAAUGAAGGUCUGUGGCUGUGCUGAUAUUCCUGCUUUGCCUGCUAACCUCUUUGUUCUUGCCUUGCCUGGUGAUUCCUGCUGUGCCCUGCCCUGCCUGUCAUCCUUCUUGUUCCUGCCUUGCCUGGACCAUCUCUCUUCCUCAAAUGCAAGAAUGGGUGAUACCUUUCACUGGACCACUAAAAAGAUUAAACAUUCUUUCUGUUUCUCAAGAUACUUGUAAUUAGUAAAUGUGGCUAUCUGUAUCACAAGAAUCGAAUUACUUCAUUAUGUAUCACUGAAUACUAAUACAGGAAUUAUUGUACAACAGUAUUCCCCGGAAAUGUGACAUGCCUGAAGACAAUAAUCCCAAGCUGUAUUGAAGCCAGGAUCAGCCUUAACAAUGAAAAGAAUAGAGCAAAUCCAUCAGGCAGCAGAUGCUGGGGGCAGGAAAGGCCCUUUUGAGUCCCUUCAUCACUUCUCUUUCCUGGAAGGUGGAGCUGUGUAUGCCAUAUGGCUGAUCCUAUCUAUCCAAACUCUUCUGCUGCCCUCAGGAAGUUGCUAUUCAAUUACCAGUAUUCAUCUGGAUGGGGAAUGAGGGAGACGGAAAUCCCUUCCCUUUGCAUCAAGUAG
Pogona vitticeps (central bearded dragon) is the source of this 641-nucleotide non-coding RNA. Lineage: Eukaryota; Metazoa; Chordata; Lepidosauria; Squamata; Agamidae. The record is from RefSeq and is a predicted model, not a curated record.